Molecule: long non-coding RNA, 128 nt
Organism: Lynx canadensis (Canada lynx)
Lineage: Eukaryota; Metazoa; Chordata; Mammalia; Carnivora; Felidae
Exons: 3
Source: RefSeq, a predicted model, not a curated record
UCUCAAAAAUAAAUAAACAAAUUUUUAAAGACUACUAGGAACAAUUAUAUGCCAACAAAUUGGAUAACCUAGAAGAAAAGGAUACAUUCCUAUAAACGUACAACCUAUCAAGUUUGAAUAAUGAAGAA